UUGCUAUGAUGACUAUCUUAGGACACCUUUGGAAUGCUCAUGAAAAAAAAUAUGUAUUUCUGAGCAAC
Struthio camelus australis is the source of this 68-nucleotide small nucleolar RNA. Its record names the gene SNORD58. It matches the Rfam family "Small nucleolar RNA SNORD58". Rfam says of the family: snoRNA U58 is found in introns 1, 3 and 6 of the ribosomal protein RPL17 gene in humans. U58 is a member of the C/D class of snoRNA which contain C (UGAUGA) and D (CUGA) box motifs. Lineage: Eukaryota; Metazoa; Chordata; Aves; Struthioniformes; Struthionidae. The record is from Ensembl.